AGUAGUGGAUAUUCCUCAAAGUGGAAUAUAGAAGCCAAAGCAAGCGGUAUUAAGUAUGCUUGAGAAAAUGAAGAGAAGAGCUCACAGCACUACUAAACUGUGAACUUAGAAUUGGGAACACAUGGCAACAGUUAAGUAGCUGCAAGGUUAAUGACUCAGGUGCUACAUAUAUGUUUUAAAAUGUGGCAUCUCCAGUGAUUGAAUGCAAGCAGGAAAUCCAUUCUGGAACCAUGAGGGCAGCACUGAGGAUCCUGAGGGGAAAGGAGCAGAAAGCCAGCCAGCAAAGGAGGAAGGGCACUCCUUCCUGCCCUUGGUGCAAACUAGAGCUCACCUGUGUCCUCGGCGAGGCCUCAUCUGACCCAGGCUGGAAGCAGAAAUGCACCUCUCCAUGCCACGGCUCCCCAAAGGAAGCGACCCAGCUCUGACAUGCUGUGCUGGUCCCUCACUCAACACAGCAGCUCUCUAGUCCCACUUCCGGGAGCCGGAUACAGAGCCACAAGGGUAGGGAGCCUGGCC
Molecule: long non-coding RNA, 516 nt
Filed under: Fukomys damarensis (Damara mole-rat)
Lineage: Eukaryota; Metazoa; Chordata; Mammalia; Rodentia; Bathyergidae
Description: lncRNA (ENSFDAG00000024193.1)
Source: RNAcentral